CCUACCCCAGCCUUCAAUUUAGUCAUCUGCAGUUUGAAUGCCGAUAAGAUCCGGCGAAAAUCUGUCUGCUGGUGACGUAAAAGUCAACAAUUUCAUCAGAUAUGCUGCGCUAUGCAAAUUGGUUUUAGUUUUGAUCGUGGUUGUUCUCUAGCAAUACUUUGUCAUUUUGCUGGCUGAAAACGACGACGUGUUCCCUCAAUCGUUCCUGAAAUCCUUAAAGAAACAGUUCAAGUAUUCCCAAGGUUUGUCAAACUUCUAGAACGAGAACAGUCUUUUUCCCGCGAGUAAAUACCUGUUUCCUCGGAGGGUUUCUCUCUAAAACACCUCGAAGACAACAUCGAAGGUAAUUG
Molecule: long non-coding RNA, 350 nt
Organism: Pocillopora damicornis (cauliflower coral)
Lineage: Eukaryota; Metazoa; Cnidaria; Anthozoa; Scleractinia; Pocilloporidae
Source: RefSeq, a predicted model, not a curated record